GAGAUCAUGACCUGAGCCGAAGUCAGACGUUUAGCCGACUGAGCCACCCAGGCACCCCUGAUGGAGCAUAUUUUUAAGUGAGAUUUUAAAUGUUGUGAAACACGCCCUCAUAACAAGAUUCCGAGCAACACGGAAAAAUCAGGGUUCCUCCCUGUGCUCUGUCCUGCCCCAUCCUCCCACCUCCUCCCCUGCUUUUUCUUGUUACUUAGCAGUACGUGUGUAACGUCUGUCCCAAGUCAGGACAUGGAUAAACAGCAGUCCACGGCAAGGGGGCACCGUCCUUCUCGCUCAGUCCCCGCUGGCGGGGUUUCAUCGGGGGCCUGGCCGGGGCCACGCCAGUCUCUCGUGGACGGGAUCCCGUCAGCGGCAGCUGCGCUGGGACCACGGGUCACAGGGGUGCGUUCCGUGCGAAGACCCCGGACAAGAAGCGGUUAACUGCUCUGGAAAGACUCUUCCGUUUGCCUAACUCUGAGAAGUACGCCGUUUCAGACGCGCAGGUUCGCUCAGGUCACGAUGUGUUUCCGAGGCGUGGACACUCGCAGUGUGUGUGCACGCGUGGUCCCCCCCCCCCCACCGGCUGCCCCGUGGGCGCACUCGGGUGACUGCGGUGAGGGUGCCCGCGGGUGAGCCCGCCUGGCUCCCAGCAGGGCCGCAGCACAGCUCCAGGGCGGGCUUUCCGUCUCUGCAGCCCCCUGUUGUUCCAGAACAGCGUGUCGCCCGAAACCACCAGGUGGCAACUCACUUCUGUCUCCUCUUCAGUGAGGUCCUGCCGUCUGGGUGUGAAAUGCAGGUUUUGCUCACCUUUGAAAAACUGUCUUUUCCCCUUUUCCCCCCCCCUUUCCCUCCCACAUUCCCCCCCCCCAGGUACUCCCGUUGCUAUAGCAACCCAGCUUCUGCCAAGUCUUUCUGCUGCUUUUCAUCCCAGCAGCAACAGGUGCUUCUCGGUGCCCCCCUCCCCACCCCCCAGCCUGCUCCACUCAGAUUGGGGAUCCGCUGAAGCCCGGUGCUUUCCAGGAGUCCGUGCUCUGAGGUGAAACGGGGCGUCUGGAGGGCACUCCGUGGGAUACAAGUAAUCCAUCUGUCCAUCAUCUAUCAGGCAUCCACAUCCUGCCUGUCGACCCGCCUCUCCUUGUAUCUCUGUGUCUCACCUCUUUCCAGAGUCCUGUCACAGAGGCUCAGUCCUGAGCACCAUACGCACGGCUCCCAACAGGGUGUUUUCCUUGCACAACAACAGGGCUCUCAGCGCCUGGCAGCUUUGUGCAGCUUCCCCGCUGUCGGGAGACCCUCCGCAGCGGUUUGUGUUCAACCCGGGACUCGGCCGGGGGCCGCAGGGGCCAUGGGUGGGGGGGUUAUAAAACCCAGAUCCCUCACUUGCUGUGGACUUUUCUUCUGCUAUUCACGAAUCGCCAAGUUGUCUGUGUGCGAGAAAAGGCUCGUCUCUGCCGUCAGACCCUCCGCCCUGUCUUUUCAGAUCUUGGAUGACCAUGUGCGAAAAACUGGAGCUUUAUUUGCUUCCAAAACGUUUGCGAUGCUCUCGUGUUUCACUCUGACUGCUUUUCUAAGCACCAGACUCGGUGUUGACAUCAGGUUUUGUGUUUUUGUUUUUUUUUUUUGUAUUGUUUGUUUAUUUUUGAGAGACAGCGCAAGUGUGAGUGGGGGAGGG
Herpailurus yagouaroundi (jaguarundi) is the source of this 1663-nucleotide long non-coding RNA. RefSeq lists it as uncharacterized. NCBI's taxonomy places the organism in Eukaryota, Metazoa, Chordata, Mammalia, Carnivora, Felidae. The transcript has 3 exons. The record is from RefSeq and is a predicted model, not a curated record.